Small nucleolar RNA from Alligator mississippiensis (American alligator), 137 nucleotides. It matches the Rfam family "Small nucleolar RNA SNORA5". From Rfam's summary of the family: ACA5 is a member of the H/ACA class of snoRNA that guide the sites of modification of uridines to pseudouridines. The record is from Rfam. NCBI's taxonomy places the organism in Eukaryota, Metazoa, Chordata, Crocodylia, Alligatoridae.
UACAGCCUUGUCAAAUUGCAGUGCUCGCCUCCUCUGUGGUAGGCGCUGGCCCAGCCGGCUGCCACAGCAUCACUGCAGCUCAUGGGUCCCAUGCCCUGCCUGGUGGAUCUGGGGGUCAGAUCCUGCUGCGAACAUGC